AUGACAAAAUAAACCACUUUGGGGAAAGAUAGCAGCUUGCUGUGCCUAAAGACUAGCUAGCCAAUUAAUGGAUGUUCUAAGUUCAUCAUCAAGAAAUGGUAGCCUUGGCAACAAAAUGGUGCCUGCCAUGGAAAUAGCACCCUAAAAUGGAGGCUGAAAACAACUGGCAGCCUCUGAGAGGGGAGAUGUGGGAGGGGUUUUCUGGCCCUGAUGUGCUUCCAGGAUGAUCAGGAAGGCAGAGGCUGAGCUGCUAUCCAGUCCCAGGAUGGCAUGAGGAAGUUGUUUGUAGCAGUGGCAGGAAAAUUGUUCUGUGGGGUUAAGAGAGGUGGGAAAUUGAUCGUGUGACCAGCAUAUGGCUUCCAGGUCCAGCAGCAUGGGCAGCGAGGAGUAGGAUAGUGAGUUGACCCAGGAUGACCUGGGCAGGAGGAAGGUGGUGACAGAUGAUGCUGGACUAAAAGACCUGGCUUCUGUUCACUUCUGGUUUACUGCUGACUCCAACUACUUCACUGGGACAAGGAAGAGACGGAUGUACACUAAAGAGAUCUCUCCUGGUUGAAGUGCAAAUAUUAUUAAGGAAAGAAAAAGUAAUCUAAAAGGAA
This 599-nucleotide long non-coding RNA is filed under the name Anas platyrhynchos platyrhynchos (common mallard). Its description in RNAcentral is "lncRNA (ENSAPLG00000024748.1)". The record is from RNAcentral. Lineage: Eukaryota; Metazoa; Chordata; Aves; Anseriformes; Anatidae.